AAAUCAAAUCAUGUAAUCUUUUAAUAGUCGAACAGACUAAAUUAUUUUAGCUUCUUCACCAAAAAUAAAAAUUAAUUCAACAUCGAGGUCACAAACUUCAAUUAUUAAUAAGAACUUGUUAAUUAAAUAAUGCUGUUAUCCCUAGAGUAACUUAAUUUUAUUAAAUUUUAAUUUUAAAAAUUAAUAUCUUCAAAUGUUACCCCAACUAAAAAUUUAUUAAAUAAAUUUUAAGCUUCUAGGGUCUUCUCGUCCCAAAAAUUUAUAAAAGCAUUUUUACUUUUAAUUUAAAUUCAAAAUAAUUAAAUAAAACUUUCUUUUUAGUUUUAAACCCUUCAUUCCAGUCAUCAAUUAAAAGA
This 356-nucleotide ribosomal RNA is filed under the name Acanthogonyleptes marmoratus. RNAcentral describes it as "partial large subunit ribosomal RNA". The record is from RNAcentral. Lineage: Eukaryota; Metazoa; Arthropoda; Arachnida; Opiliones; Gonyleptidae.